RNAcentral lists this long non-coding RNA (363 nucleotides) under Triticum aestivum (bread wheat). RNAcentral's name for it is "long non-coding RNA (TAES_LNC010279)". Lineage: Eukaryota; Viridiplantae; Streptophyta; Magnoliopsida; Poales; Poaceae. The record is from RNAcentral.
UUUAUCACUACCUGAUGGAUACUUCCUGUUUCUGGAUGACAUGAUAUUGAUAACACACUGCUGCAAAUGAAAAAAAAUCAUUGCAUCAUUUGUUGAAUAGUGCCUGCUAUGCAUCAAUGAACGACAAUAUGAUUAAGAUAUACCCGACGGUCGAAUCUGUGAUGACUGAAUACUGAUGAGCGUCAGUGCGUGUGCCUAUGCUGCUAUACAUGGCCAAGAGGCUAGAGUCAGAGAGCAAUUCAAUUUAGCAAACCGGAUGACGACGGGGACCUUGGGAAUUGUAAUCACUAAUCAGCGGCGCCGGUGAACUGGAUUUGGAAGGAGUUACUCGUAGGAGAAGGGGGCGGCAGUAUGGCGUCGGCG